This 502-nucleotide ribosomal RNA is filed under the name uncultured bacterium. RNAcentral describes it as "partial 16S ribosomal RNA". It matches the Rfam family "Bacterial small subunit ribosomal RNA", at positions 29 to 507 of the family's 1533-position model. The record is from RNAcentral.
AGCGAACGCUGGCGGCGUGCCUAACACAUGCAAGUCGAACGUGAAAGGGAGCAAUCCCAAGUAAAGUGGCGUACGGGUGAGUAACACGUAGGUAAUCUACCCCAGAAUCUGGAAUAACCGGCCGAAAGGCUGGCUAAUACUGGAUAGAGCGACGGAAUCCGUAAUUGGGUUUUUCGGGAAAGGGAGCCUGUAAAAAGGCCUUCGUUCUGGGAUGAGCCUGCGUCCCAUCAGCUAGUUGGUGAGGUAAAAGCUUACCAAGGCAAUGACGGGUAGCUGGUCUGAGAGGACGGUCAGCCACACUGGGACUGAAACACGGUCCAGACUCCUACGGGAGGCAGCAGUGGGGAAUCUUGCGCAAUGGACGAAAGUCUGACGCAGCAACGCCGCGUGAGGGAAGAAGGCCUUCGGGUUGUAAAGCUCUGUCGAGUGGGACGAAAAUGCUUGGAGUUCACAGCUCCAGGAACUGACGGUACCACUAAAGGAAGCACCGGCUAACUCCGUG